This is an RNA transcript of Parus major (Great Tit), 1883 nucleotides long. It is a transcript of the gene named RAB3A interacting protein, with no coding region annotated. Lineage: Eukaryota; Metazoa; Chordata; Aves; Passeriformes; Paridae. The transcript is spliced from 12 exons. The record is from RefSeq and is a predicted model, not a curated record.
UCGAUCCGUCGGGGCUUGCGUGCUCACGGAAGGGUCUGUCGGCGGCAGGGAUGCGUUUGUUCCUGAGUGCAGCCGCGGUCGAAGGGAGAACUGGGCAAAAGUAGUUCUCAAGGAUGAGUCCGGGAAGUGCCGGGGGCACCUGGUCCGGGGAAAGCAGCGACGGCGGACAAAGAGCCAUCGCAUCCCCUGGGCCGGCGGGUCGGAGCAGCUGCCGUGCUCCCCACGUAGUGCCUGUGCGGCGCCCGAGGGGAAGGGCGGCCCGGCGGCGGUGACCGAGACCAGGAGAGGAGGGAUGCGAGAGGAAGCUGAGCUGGUACUGAACGCUUCGCCUCCGCUCACAGAGCUGUCGGGCAGGCGCGGCGGCAGGGAUUCAUAUAAUGAGGCUUUUAUUAUGGCCAGUGACCCCUUGGAAGGCUUUCAUGAAGUGAACCUCGCUUCGCCUACUACACCAGAUCUUCUUGGAGUAAAUGAGCCAGGGACUCAGGAACAAACUACCUCACCCAGUGUAAUCUACCGACCACAUCCUUCUGUUGUGUCCACACCAAUCCAACCCAAUGCAUUAAAUGUUUCUGACCUUCCUACACAACCUGUUUAUUCAUCUCCCAGACAACUGAAUUGUGGAGAAGUAUCAGGUGUCAGCAUCAAUGUUACCGACACAGUACUUUGUUCUACCUCUGGACCCCAGAGUGGGUCACUCAAUCACAGUAAUGCCAGGAAGGAGAGCAAUAACGUAGAGAGAGAGCUUUUGCAGGGUACUACAGUAGCAGAUGUUGCUGAAGGAAAUGAAGAUAUUUUUGGGUUGAGUACAGACAGUUUAUCUCACUUACGGAGCCCAUCUGUACUGGAAGUAAGAGAAAAGGGCUAUGAACGAUUGAAGGAAGAACUUGCAAAAGCUCAGAGGGAGCUGAAGUUAAAAGAUGAAGAAUGUGAAAGGCUUUCUAAAGUGCGAGAUCAACUUGGACAGGAAUUGGAAGAACUUACAGCUAGUCUGUUUGAGGAAGCACACAAAAUGGUUAAAGAAGCAAAUGUCAAACAAGCUGCUGCAGAGAAACAGUUAAAAGAAGCACAAGGCAAGAUUGAUGUCCUCCAGGCUGAAGUAGCAGCAUUGAAAACACUAGUACUGUCUACUUCACCAACAUCUCCAACUAAGGAGUUCCAGUCUGGUGGAAGAACUCCUUUUAAGAAAGGCCAUGCAAGAAACAAGAGUACAAGCAGUGCUAUGGGUGGCAGUCAUCAGGACCUUACCAUGAUGCAGCCAAUUGUAAAAGACUGUAAAGAGGCUGACCUGUCUCUGUACAAUGACUUCAGAUCUUGGAAGGAUGAGCCUACUAUGGACAGAACAUGUCCUUUCUUGGACAAAAUUUAUCGGGAAGAUAUUUUUCCAUGUUUAACAUUCUCCAAAAGUGAGUUGGCCUCAGCUGUUCUGGAAGCUGUUGAAAACAACACUCUGAGCAUUGAACCUGUUGGCUUGCAACCUGUUCGAUUUGUGAAAGCUUCUGCAGUUGAAUGUGGAGGACCAAAGAAAUGUGCUCUCAGUGGACAAAGUAAGUCAUGCAAGCAUAGAAUCAAAUUAGGAGAUUCAAGCAGUUACUACUACAUUUCUCCUUUCUGUCGUUACAGGAUCACUUCGGUGUGUAACUUCUUUACAUAUAUUCGAUACAUCCAGCAAGGACUGUUGAAGCAGCAAGAUGGUCGUAUCACUCAGGCUCCCAGAAAUACUGAGCACAGAUAGUGGAAAAAGUGUCAUUAGCCCUGUGCCAAUAGUAAAUUAGAAUAUUUGUUUUCACUGUGAAAAUUGGAUCAGAUGUUCUGGGAAGUUAUGCAGCUGAGACGAGAGAUGUCACUAGCAAAACUUGGCUAUUACAAAGAAGAGCUCUAAAACU